GCUUUAAAAAAUUAAAAAUUGUAUUUAAGGAAUAAAUUAAAAUAAAAAUUACAUGAAUUGGAUAAAAUAAAAUAGCCUCUGUAAGAGAAAGUAUAUAGAUUUAAGAGGGGGGGGAAUCCAGUACGAAACUCAAAUGAACUACCAGCACUCAUUUUGACAACUCAAAACCAUCAGUUCAAAUUCAAAUCGGUGGCUGGUACAAAUUACCAAGAAGAUCACGAGCGUAGCAAGAAGAUAUUAGGACCUCUCUACGGAUGAUGGAGCAGAAACUCUAAGGCAAUAGAUUGGAUUUAGUAUAAUGUUGGAUUGAUGUAUUUUGUUCCAGUUGCCUAUCCUGUGGUUCAUUUGUGCGAUGACAGGGCUAUUCUCUCGUCCUCAUUGACAGCUGAGACCAGUCUGGAGGAUCAGUUCAUUUUACGUCAAGGAGUAUAUCGGGAAAUUCGUAGUAUCAUCGUUGAGAACGAUUUUGAGUCACUAUCUGCUCCUCUCACCCCACAAAACACAGCUCAUCUCCUUCUGGGCUUCAAGAGCGUCGAAAAUAGACUUAGUCAGGUAAAAAACCGUAUUUACUAAAUUUCAGUAAGAGUUUUCAUGCAACCGAGCACAUAGAUCGUCGUUCCUCUGACGUAAGGGCGUAUCUUGAUUCCCACGUGAGCCCCAGAAAUCCUGGAUUUAUAUGGAAAGUGGGGCUCACGUGAAAAUUGAGAUACGCCCAUAGGCCAGAGAAGCGACGAUAUUUUGUAGGAGCCGUUAAUUUUGCAGCCAGUUUUAUAUCGGAAAGAUGACUUAUUAUGCAUCACCCUACUUAUAUACCCUCAGAAGGUUCGAUUAUACACAGAGAGAAAUUUCAACACAAAAAUUUGGUUAAUACGCGAAGUAAAACACAAAUUAAUCCAAACCUUCGGUCGACAAUUUCGAGAGAAAAUACUAGCUAGUUUUCUUGCGAGGAAAUUUAGUAAAAACGAGUGGUGAAUACUUACGUCGCAAUCGGCGGAAUGCAUCUUACCUGUCUCUCCAUUGUUUAAUAUUUUCUUUUAUACCUACUUUAUUUCUUCAAGAGAGUAUAUUCUAAUAAAAUUAUUAAUGCAAUUUUCAAGGAGGUAUACAUAUAGGUAGUGCUAUUUGACAUUCUCAUUAAGGAAGGCCUAAAAAUCAAU
RNAcentral lists this long non-coding RNA (1157 nucleotides) under Bemisia tabaci. RNAcentral describes it as "lncRNA ENSSSA2NGG008895". Lineage: Eukaryota; Metazoa; Arthropoda; Insecta; Hemiptera; Aleyrodidae. The record is from RNAcentral.